AGUCCCGUAGGCGAAUUGGUUUUAAGCCGUCUGCCCCUCAAGCAGAAGAUUGCGAGUUCAAACCUCGUCGGGACUA
RNAcentral lists this transfer RNA (76 nucleotides) under Cyanobacteria bacterium UBA11371. RNAcentral's name for it is "tRNA-Glu". It matches the Rfam family "tRNA". From Rfam's summary of the family: Transfer RNA (tRNA) molecules are approximately 80 nucleotides in length. Their secondary structure includes four short double-helical elements and three loops (D, anti-codon, and T loops). RNAcentral also lists the same sequence under 2 other names. Lineage: Bacteria; Bacillati; Cyanobacteriota. The record is from RNAcentral.